GCCUGGGUGGCUUAGUGGGUUAAGCAUCUGACUUCAGCUCAGGUCAUGAUCUCGCGGUUCGUGGGUUCAAGCCCCGCAUCAGGCC
RNAcentral lists this transfer RNA (85 nucleotides) under Felis catus (domestic cat). It matches the Rfam family "tRNA". From Rfam's summary of the family: Transfer RNA (tRNA) molecules are approximately 80 nucleotides in length. Their secondary structure includes four short double-helical elements and three loops (D, anti-codon, and T loops). Further hydrogen bonds mediate the characteristic L-shaped molecular structure. tRNAs have two regions of fundamental functional importance: the anti-codon, which is responsible for specific mRNA codon recognition, and the 3' end, to which the tRNAs corresponding amino acid is attached (by aminoacyl-tRNA synthetases). tRNAs cope with the degeneracy of the genetic code in two manners: having more than one tRNA (with a specific anti-codon) for a particular amino acid; and 'wobble' base-pairing, i.e. permitting non-standard base-pairing at the 3rd anti-codon position. The record is from Rfam by way of RNAcentral. Lineage: Eukaryota; Metazoa; Chordata; Mammalia; Carnivora; Felidae.